Orbicella faveolata is the source of this 170-nucleotide long non-coding RNA. The record is from RefSeq and is a predicted model, not a curated record. NCBI's taxonomy places the organism in Eukaryota, Metazoa, Cnidaria, Anthozoa, Scleractinia, Merulinidae.
UGACAAUGAGGAGGUUGGUUCACAGAGUGCUCAAGGUGCAGGCUCCAUGCUAACAGAGCAUAUUUUGCGCCGUCUGUCAGUAGGCAGGUGGAAACUCAACCAGUCUUGAGGAAGCAACUCCCAAGUCAUUUCUUCUCAGUGCCGACCAGGCCCAUGCAGUUCAUCCAAAC